RNAcentral lists this long non-coding RNA (296 nucleotides) under Penaeus japonicus. RNAcentral's name for it is "uncharacterized LOC122242963". The record is from RNAcentral. Lineage: Eukaryota; Metazoa; Arthropoda; Malacostraca; Decapoda; Penaeidae.
GGUAUCAGGGGAAUCCAGCCUACAGCACUCGCCUCCCCAACCUCUGUCCCCUGGUUUGUCAACCUCAAGCGGACGCCCAUCACAGAACUUACGUCUUCGCUUUCCUCAAUGGAUCUCUACCCUACUGGAUGGACCUGCGCGAGACCGGCCUCCGUAGCCUUGACCAGUCCUUCCAGGCCGUCCUGCAGCACAUGGCCAGCAAGAACAUUGUGCACAUAGAUUGGGGAAAACCUCAACUCUGGCUAGAAAAUGAGGAUUUGGCAUGUGACUGCAGCAUCAUGGCUCACCAAUGCCAC